RNAcentral lists this transfer RNA (87 nucleotides) under Nitrospina sp. RNAcentral's name for it is "tRNA-Leu". It matches the Rfam family "tRNA". From Rfam's summary of the family: Transfer RNA (tRNA) molecules are approximately 80 nucleotides in length. Their secondary structure includes four short double-helical elements and three loops (D, anti-codon, and T loops). The record is from RNAcentral. RNAcentral also lists the same sequence under 1 other name. Lineage: Bacteria; Pseudomonadati; Nitrospinota; Nitrospinia; Nitrospinales; Nitrospinaceae.
GCCGGGGUGGCGGAAUUGGUAGACGCAAGGGACUUAAAAUCCCUCGGGGGUAACCCCGUGCCGGUUCGAUUCCGGCCCUCGGCACCA